AGUGAACGCUGGCGGUAGGCCUAACACAUGCAAGUCGAACGGCAGCACAGUAAGAGCUUGCUCUUACGGGUGGCGAGUGGCGGACGGGUGAGGAAUACAUCGGAAUCUCCUUUUUCGUGGGGGAUAACGUAGGGAAACUUACGCUAAUACCGCAUACGUCCUACGGGUGAAAGCAGGGGAUCUUCGGACCUUGCGCGAUUGAAUGAGCCGAUGUCGGAUUAGCUAGUUGGCGGGGUAAAGGCCCACCAAGGCGACGAUCCGUAGCUGGUCUGAGAGGAUGAUCAGCCACACUGGAACUGAGACACGGUCCAGACUCCUACGGGAGGCAGCAGUGGGGAAUAUUGGACAAUGGGCGCAAGCCUGAUCCAGCCAUACCGCGUGGGUGAAGAAGGCCUUCGGGUUGUAAAGCCCUUUUGUUGGGAAAGAAAAGCAGCAGGUUAAUACCCCGCUGUUCUGACGGUACCCAAAGAAUAAGCACCGGCUAACUUCGUG
This 492-nucleotide ribosomal RNA is filed under the name uncultured bacterium. RNAcentral's name for it is "partial 16S ribosomal RNA". It matches the Rfam family "Bacterial small subunit ribosomal RNA", at positions 29 to 507 of the family's 1533-position model. The record is from RNAcentral.